AAAUAAACGCAGCAUAAUACAAAACAAGAAACACGAACAACGCCAAGACAUGAAACAAUGACGCCUGGGGAAGGAACCAAAGGGAGUGACAUAUAUAGGGAAGGUAAUCAGGGAGGUGAUGGAGUCCAGGUGAGUCUGAUGAUGCACAGGUGCGCGUAACGAAGGUGACAGGUGUGCGCCAUAACGAGCAGCCUGGUGACCUAGAGGCCAGAGAGGGAGCACACGUGACACUUUCCCUCUAUCAAUUCAAUUCAAUUCAAAGGGCUUUAUUGGCAUGGGAAACAUAUGUUAACAUUGCCAAAGCAAGUGAAAUAGAACAUAAACAAAAGUUAAAUAAACAAUAAAAAAAUGAACUGUAAACAUUACACUCACAAAAGUUCCAAAAGAAAAAGACGUUUGAAAUCUCUCUGUCUCUGUCUCUGUCUCGCUCUCUCUCUCUCUCUGUCUCUCUCCUUCUCUUUCUCUCUCUGUCUCUCUCCUCCCAGAAUGGUGUUUAAUGAGGCUGGCACUGCCUGUAAGUGAUUUAAUAACCAGGACUUACUACAGGGAGGUACAUUUGCCCUGGUCUGUGUUGGGGUUGGGCAGCUGCACACUUGCUAUCACUUGAUUAUUCUGUCUGUCUGACUCUAAUGUGUCCCCCUGCUGCCGGCUGGUACCGUCGCUGCAACCAUGUAUCCCCCUGCUGCCGGCUGGUACCGUCGCUGCAACCAUGUAUCCCCCUGCUGCCGGCUGGUACCAUCGCUGCAACCAUGUAUCCCCCUGCUGCCGGCUGGUACCGUCGCUGCAACCAUGUAUCCCCCUGCUGCCGGCUGGUACCGUCGCUGCAACCAUGUAUCCCCCUGCUGCCAGUUGGUACCUGUCGACUACCACCCCCACUGUAUACAUAUGUGCGCACGCACACACUCCUGCUGCGUUUUGGUCCUCAUUCACCGACAACAACCUUGACAGAAUCACCCACCACCAAAGGACCAAGCAGCAGAGGAAGGAGCAGACGGAGUUCGAGUUGGACUGGCGGGAGAAGUGGACUUGGGAGGAAGUUCUGG
Molecule: long non-coding RNA, 1043 nt
Filed under: Salmo salar (Atlantic salmon)
Lineage: Eukaryota; Metazoa; Chordata; Actinopteri; Salmoniformes; Salmonidae
Description: lncRNA (ENSSSAG00000096433.1)
Source: RNAcentral